RNAcentral lists this ribosomal RNA (756 nucleotides) under uncultured bacterium. RNAcentral describes it as "bacterial SSU rRNA". It matches the Rfam family "Bacterial small subunit ribosomal RNA", at positions 8 to 796 of the family's 1533-position model. The record is from RNAcentral.
AGAGUUUGAUCAUGGCUCAGAAUCAACGCUGGCGGCGCGCUUAACACAUGCAAGUCGCACGAGAAAGUGGAGCAAUCCAUGAGUAAAGUGGCGUACGGGUGAGUAACACGUGGAUCAUCUACCUCUUAGUGGGGAAUAACCCUGGGAAACCGGGGCUAAUACCGCAUAAGCCUGAGAAGGGAAAGCAGCAAUGCGCUGAGAGAGGAGUCCGCGGCCGAUUAGCUAGUUGGUAGGGUAAUGGCCUACCAAGGCAAUGAUCGGUAGCCGGCCUGAGAGGGCACACGGCCACACUGGCACUGAAACACGGGCCAGACUCCUACGGGAGGCAGCAGUGGGGAAUCUUGCACAAUGGAGGAAACUCUGAUGCAGCGACGCCGCGUGAGCGAUGAAGCCCUUCGGGGUGUAAAGCUCUUUCGACGGGAACGAUAAUGACGGUACCCGGAGAAGAAGCUGCGGCUAACUACGUGCCAGCAGCCGCGGUAAUACGUAGGCAGCAAGCGUUGUUCGGAAUUACUGGGCGUAAAGAGUGUGUAGGCGGUUCUCUAUGUUCGGUGUGAAAUCUCCCGGCUUAACUGGGAGGGUGCGCCGAAAACUGGAGGGCUUGAGUAUGGGAGAGGAAAGCGGAAUUCCUGGUGUAGCGGUGAAAUGCGUAGAUAUCAGGAGGAACACCUGCGGUGUAGACGGCUUUCUGGACCAUCACUGACGCUGAGACACGAAAGCGUGGGUAGCAAACAGGAUUAGAUACCCUAGUAGUCC